Long non-coding RNA from Homo sapiens (human), 433 nucleotides. RefSeq lists it as uncharacterized. The transcript has 3 exons. NCBI's taxonomy places the organism in Eukaryota, Metazoa, Chordata, Mammalia, Primates, Hominidae. The record is from RefSeq and is a predicted model, not a curated record.
AGCACUGACUUCCGCGAGUGAAGCGUCUCUGAAAGGGGAGAAAACCAGUGCUGCUGCCACUCCUCCUCACUCUGCAGAAUCAGGUGUUCCCUUUAGGACUCUGGAUGGCAUAGAGGAAAGCAUCCCAGACUGAGGAGAGGUUCCAGCAGCUGCAAAAUGUUGGGGUAGCAAAAAGGCCCAGCUCAGUAGUGGAGGGAAGAUGCAUUACCUCAGAGGGAGUCCAAGAGGAUGCAUUGCUGCUACUUAAGACAGAUGUCAUAUGCCAACACAGUAUUCAGCAAACAUUAAAACUGACAACCAGAAAUGCUCUUUGCUAGAACUCCCAGGGGCAAGAUGGCAAUGCUGACAGAAAUGAUACUUCCGCCCCGUUGCCUCCCGCUGCCUACUCGAGCACACAUUCUGUCAUCUUCCUGCUUCCUGGAAAUUGAAAUCA